UACGAGUGCCUCGAGCGUUAUCCGGAAUUAUUGGGCGUAAAGGGUGUGUAGGCGGUUCUGGUAGUCUCCUGUAAAAUUCCCCGGCUCAACCGGGGGCGCGCGGGAGAAACGGCAGAACUCAGAGGAUGGAAGGGGUCUGCGGAACUCAUGGUGUAGCGGUGAAAUGCGUUGAUAUCAUGGGGAACACCAAAAGCGAAGGCAGCAGACUGGUCCACUCCUGACGCUGAAACACGAAAGCGUGGGUCGCGAAUGGG
Molecule: ribosomal RNA, 254 nt
Filed under: uncultured bacterium
Lineage: Bacteria
Description: partial 16S ribosomal RNA
Rfam family: Bacterial small subunit ribosomal RNA
Source: RNAcentral